RNAcentral lists this ribosomal RNA (506 nucleotides) under Diphyllobothrium scoticum. RNAcentral describes it as "partial 16S ribosomal RNA". The stretch from base 239 to 398 matches the Rfam family "Bacterial large subunit ribosomal RNA", at positions 1791 to 2013 of the family's 2925-position model. Lineage: Eukaryota; Metazoa; Platyhelminthes; Cestoda; Diphyllobothriidea; Diphyllobothriidae. The record is from RNAcentral.
AUCUGUUUUAGGGAGUUCAUAAUGUUAAACUUAUUUGGUGAAGAGAUCAAGUAAGUGUAUACAACCAUAGUAUUUUAAGAGUGAUGUUAGGGUUAAAAUUACCUUUAUAUUAGGCGUAUGUUACAAUUGCUAUUUAUUAUACUCUUUGUGGUUUAUUUGUAGUCUCCUUAUAAAUUUAAUUGGUUGUGGUUAAGUAUCAUAUAAUAAGUAAUUUUAUUAGUCUCUUUGUUUUUCAUUUACAUCCCGUCUGUUUAUUAAAAACAUUUCCAUAUUAUAGAUUUUAUAUGGUAGGACCUGCUCUAUGUGUUAUAAAUGGCCGCAGUAUCUUGACUGUGCGAAGGUAGCAUAAUUAAUUGCCCUUUAAAUGGGGGCUUGUUUGAAUGGUUUGACGAGGUUGUUUUUAACAUGGAGACUUUUGUUGAAAUUGAUGAUGUGAAUACAGAAUUUACAUUAUUUAAUUAGACGGAAAGACCCUAGGAUCUUUGUAUAUUUUGCUUGGGGCAAGU